AAAACACAAAAGGAAAAAAAGGAAAAGAAAAGAAAAGAAAGAAAACCUAAACAAUUGCCGAAGAAAAAUGCAGCCUUUCCCCCCUAAAUCUCUCUACACCCACAACUUACAUUUCUCCCAAAAUUGAAAUUCAGAGUCGGUACUCUGUCGGCACCUCACCAUCUCCGGCAGUACUACAAUCGAAGGUGUCGCCGUCGCUCCGGCUCUUACCUUAAUGGGUUCUCGCUUUUUUCGUUUUUCUGUUACGUAGAGGCCUAAAUGUUUUCCAUUUUUUUUUUCAAGUUGUAUGUACUUCGUCAUAGGAUGUGGCGAGUAAACAUACAAUGAGGAUGUUACGAAUUCUUAACAGAAUCUGUAGUGAAGCACUCGCCAAGUAUUAGAUCACGUCUAGCAUUUUGUUUCUAAAAGAACAGUGUCCUGUCGGGUACAUCUUUCAUCACUAGAUCUAUGGAUAAAGGAUAUUGACUUGAUGGGAUGUUUACAUGGUCCUAGAACUUGCAUAGUUGUUUUUUUAUUCUUCUAUGGAAAGCCAAAUGCUACAAUUUUGUCGUAAUCUGUUCCAUUUUUUGUAGACGCUUAACUUAUUCUAUCUCAAUUCUCAUUUUGACAAUUUUUUCUUCUAGCUACUUUCUAUGAUUAUGAUGCUGAUGGGUUUGUAUUGUUUCUUGAUUGCAUUGUGUUACAUUAUUAAUUUGGAGAAAUUUAGAAAUUAGAUGUUUGUUUAUUUGAGUUUUCACUUAAAUUCUAAUCUUGCUUUCAAAUCUAACCUUAUUGCUUCAACCAAAUUUCAAUUUUUUGACUUACUUUUUAUCAACUGAAAUAUAUUUAUAUGGUGUUUUACUUAAUUUUUGUGCCUCCAAAGUUCCUUGCAAUUUAGUAAAACUUUGUGAUAGGCAACUUUUAUCUGAUUCUCUUUUCUCGAUCUCAUCAUACCUUUUGUUGAAAGCCAAAUUGUGUUGAUUCUUUUCUUGACGGGAAAGCGUUUUCCACUUCCGUAUCUUCUCUACUUCUAUUGCUAGUUGAUAUGAUAUAUUGCCAUUUAAGAGAUUCAAUUUUGUUUAUCAAGUUGUGAUAGGCUUGUGGGUUCUGUCAAUUGUGGGCAGCUUGUGCAACUUCUUGACGUUGUUCUAUCUAUGUAAGGAAUUUCUUUGUCUUUAAAAGGGUAACCUGGUUUCUUGUUCACUAACAUUUCAUGCUGACCGUGAUAUGUGGUUUAUUCUCCUCGUAGAAUGGGUGGACAGAAUUAUGGAAUUUGUCACAGUUAGAGAGCUAAGGGCCACUCCUUUGUUGAAUGUCCACGAAAACGUCGAUGCCCAUUAUGCAAGCAUGGAUUCGAGAACUGUUUCGUGGUAGAGAAAGAGACAGUCUAUAAAUGCGAUUAUUCCUUUGUUGCAGUGCCAAGUAUGGAUUUUGGGACUAGGUUGUGAAAGAAUAAUCAUCAAUCGGCCAAUCCUCUACCAUUAGCACUUCCUCAGUUAACCUAGCGACAAACUAAAUAGUUGAAGAUGUGGAACGCAUGUUCUAAUCUUGAGUUCGCCUCAAUGACGAAGAAGAACUAUGAAUUUCGAUGAUCGUGACAAUUAGCAAGGUGAAUGGAAACGCGGAAGGAAAUGCAAAAGGGGUUAGUGUGAGAAUUGUUAUUACAUGGGGAUUUAGGAAAUUAUAUCUUUUGUCUCGUAUUGUUGUGUAAACUUGUUUCGGCAUUCAAUUUAGUUAAGACUGUGUUAAAAUACAUUUUUCUUGUUACUCGCCUAACUUUCAUGGUGACCAAGCUAACUGAUUGCUACUCUAGUUAUCCCAUAUGUUGUGAAGUUCAUUUUUAUAAUUGUUUGAUGCCAAUUGUUAUUAUGAACCUAUAAUUAGUUGGUCUUGUGAGGCAAGUUCCAGAGUUUGAAGGGA
Molecule: long non-coding RNA, 1899 nt
Filed under: Olea europaea subsp. europaea
Lineage: Eukaryota; Viridiplantae; Streptophyta; Magnoliopsida; Lamiales; Oleaceae
Source: RNAcentral